GACGAACGCUGGCGGCGUGCUUAACACAUGCAAGUCGAGCGGGAACCUCUGAAGGGGUAACCCUUCAGAGGGGAGAGCGGCGAACGGGUGAGUAACACGUGGGCAACCUGCCCCAGACACUGGGAUAACUCCGGGAAACCGGGGCUAAUACCGGAUACUCCGGUCUGAUCGCAUGUUCGGAUCGGGAAAGCUCCGACGGUCUGGGAUGGGCCCGCGGCCUAUCAGCUUGUUGGUGAGGUAACGGCCCACCAAGGCGACGACGGGUAGCUGGUCUGAGAGGACGGCCAGCCACACUGGGACUGAGACACGGCCCAGACUCCUACGGGAGGCAGCAGUGGGGAAUAUUGCGCUAAUGCGCGAAAGCGUGACGCAGCGACGCCGCGUGCGGGAUGAAGGCCUUC
This 401-nucleotide ribosomal RNA is filed under the name uncultured bacterium. RNAcentral's name for it is "bacterial SSU rRNA". It matches the Rfam family "Bacterial small subunit ribosomal RNA", at positions 28 to 419 of the family's 1533-position model. The record is from RNAcentral.